GAAAUUUAUCCCUAAAAGUUUAAA
RNAcentral lists this small nuclear RNA (24 nucleotides) under Arabidopsis thaliana (thale cress). Its description in RNAcentral is "snRNA_01327". Lineage: Eukaryota; Viridiplantae; Streptophyta; Magnoliopsida; Brassicales; Brassicaceae. The record is from RNAcentral.